AGACCCAGUUUGGGGGCAGGGAGGGCGGCGGUGGUUGGUGGGGGAGAUGUUUAAAUCGAUGGGCAUAUGUGAGUAUUUUGCUGUUAAUGCUUUUUCUGUGUCAUUCUCUGUAGAGUUCCGGGAACGCGUCCUAUCGCUGCUCUAUGUCUUCCUCUGCGGAUUUUUCCGAUGAGGAUGAUUUCAGCCAGAAAUCUGGCUCCGCAUCCCCAGCUCCGGGAGACACCUUACCCUGGAAUUUGCCUAAACAUGAGAGAUCGAAAAGAAAGAUUCAAGGGGGCACAGUGCUGGACCCUGCCGAGAGGGCAGUGCUUCGGAUAGCAGAUGAACGGGACAAAGUUCAGAAGAAAACAUUUACAAAAUGGAUAAAUCAGCAUCUCAUGAAGGUUCGAAAACAUGUGAAUGAUCUCUAUGAAGACUUAAGGGAUGGACACAAUUUGAUUUCUCUUUUAGAGGUUCUUUCAGGAGAUACCUUGCCCAGAGAAAAAGGUCGGAUGCGUUUUCACAGACUACAGAAUGUACAAAUUGCACUUGACUAUUUGAAAAGACGCCAGGUGAAAUUAGUGAAUAUUAGAAAUGAUGACAUAACAGACGGAAAUCCCAAAUUGACUUUGGGAUUAAUCUGGACAAUAAUUUUGCACUUUCAGAUAUCUGAUAUCCAUGUUACUGGAGAGUCAGAGGAUAUGUCUGCAAAAGAGAGAUUGCUACUCUGGACGCAGCAGGCAACAGAGGGUUAUGCUGGAAUUCGGUGUGAAAAUUUCACUACCUGCUGGAGAGAUGGAAAAUUAUUUAAUGCCAUCAUUCAUAAAUACAGGCCGGACCUGAUAGAUAUGAAUACUGUUGCUGUUCAAAGCAACCUUGCAAAUUUAGAGCAUGCUUUCUACGUAGCAGAAAAAAUUGGUGUUAUAAGACUUCUGGACCCUGAAGAUGUCGAUGUCUCCUCACCUGAUGAAAAAUCAGUAAUAACUUAUGUGUCAUCUCUCUAUGAUGCAUUUCCUAAAGUCCCUGAAGGUGGGGAAGGCAUUGGUGCAAAUGAUGUUGAAGUCAAAUGGAUUGAAUACCAGAAUAUGGUGAACUACCUCAUCCAAUGGAUUAGACACCAUGUGACCACAAUGUCUGAGAGAACAUUUCCUAAUAAUCCUGUAGAACUGAAGGCACUUUAUAAUCAGUAUUUACAGUUUAAAGAAACAGAAAUUCCACCAAAGGAGACAGAAAAAUCAAAAAUUAAACGUCUAUAUAAAUUAUUAGAGAUUUGGAUAGAAUUUGGACGCAUCAAGCUCCUUCAAGGUUAUCAUCCAAAUGACAUAGAAAAAGAGUGGGGGAAACUCAUUAUUGCCAUGCUAGAGAGAGAGAAGGCCCUUCGUCCAGAAGUAGAAAGGUUAGAAAUGUUGCAACAGAUUGCCAACCGAGUUCAGAGGGACAGUGUCAUCUGUGAAGACAAACUGAUUCUUGCUCGAAAUGCUCUUCAGUCUGAUUCUAAAAGAUUAGAAUCAGGAGUGCAGUUUCAGAAUGAAGCAGAAAUUGCUGGGUAUAUACUUGAAUGUGAGAACCUUUUACGCCAGCAUGUAAUUGAUGUACAGAUUCUUAUUGAUGGAAAAUACUACCAGGCAGAUCAAUUGGUACAGAGGGUUGCAAAACUGCGUGACGAAAUUAUGGCCUUAAGGAACGAAUGUUCUUCUGUGUACAGCAAAGGACGCAUACUGACAACAGAACAGACAAAGCUCAUGAUAUCAGGAAUCACUCAAAGUUUAAACUCAGGAUUUGCACAGACCUUACACCCUAGUCUGACCUCAGGGCUGACCCAGAGUUUAACACCUUCCCUAACCUCUUCUAGUAUGACUUCUGGCCUGUCAUCAGGGAUGACUUCCCGCCUGACUCCAUCUGUCACUCCAGCUUAUACACCUGGUUUCCCAUCAGGAUUAGUUCCAAAUUUCAGUUCAGGAGUAGAGCCAAAUUCAUUGCAAACUCUGAAGUUGAUGCAGAUCCGAAAACCCCUUCUAAAGUCUUCUUUGCUGGAUCAAAAUUUAACAGAAGAGGAAAUCAAUAUGAAAUUUGUUCAGGAUCUUUUGAAUUGGGUUGAUGAGAUGCAGGUACAACUGGACCGCACUGAGUGGGGCUCAGAUUUGCCAAGUGUUGAAAGCCAUUUAGAAAAUCAUAAAAAUGUUCAUAGAGCUAUUGAAGAAUUUGAAUCUAGCCUCAAAGAAGCUAAAAUCAGUGAGAUUCAAAUGACAGCACCUCUUAAACUGACUUAUGCAGAAAAGUUGCACAGAUUAGAGAGUCAGUAUGCAAAACUCUUGAAUACAUCCAGGAAUCAAGAACGGCACCUUGAUACACUCCAUAAUUUUGUAAGUCGUGCGACUAAUGAACUUAUUUGGUUGAAUGAAAAAGAAGAGGAGGAAGUUGCUUAUGACUGGAGUGAGAGAAACACCAACAUAGCCAGGAAAAAAGAUUAUCAUGCUGAAUUAAUGAGAGAACUUGAUCAAAAGGAAGAAAAUAUUAAAUCAGUUCAGGAGAUAGCAGAGCAGCUACUUCUAGAAAAUCAUCCAGCCCGGUUAACUAUUGAGGUAAAGCUGGAAAGUGUAAUGGUGUUGGUUGAAUAUUGAUAUGAUUAUUUCCCUUCAGAUUCUUUUAUUGCUGAGAAGUUGAAAAUUACAAGCCAUCUAACUUUUGUUAAAACCUGGCUCAAAAACGUUUCUGACAAAUUGUACUGAUUGCCUUCAGUUCUCUGGCUCUAAGUAUGUCACCCAUCACUUAGAAUAAAAGUACCCUUGUCAGCCUCUGUGGCUGAGAAGAUGUAUUGCUGUAAAUAUGAAGUACCUUCUCUGUGUAAGCAUUGCCAUAUUAUUUAUUUCUGAUUGUGUAACAUUGCACAAGUGACAUAGUAUUGCCAAGCCUCAUUUUCCUACC
This 2904-nucleotide small RNA is filed under the name Pan troglodytes (chimpanzee). Its description in RNAcentral is "retained intron". Lineage: Eukaryota; Metazoa; Chordata; Mammalia; Primates; Hominidae. The record is from RNAcentral.